RNAcentral lists this ribosomal RNA (378 nucleotides) under uncultured organism. RNAcentral's name for it is "partial 16S ribosomal RNA". It matches the Rfam family "Bacterial small subunit ribosomal RNA", at positions 527 to 896 of the family's 1533-position model. The record is from RNAcentral.
GUAGGUGGCAAGCGCUGUCCGGAAUUAUUGGGCGUAAAGCGCGCGCAGGCGGUUCUUUAAGUCUGAUGUGAAAGCCCACGGCUCAACCGUGGAGGGUCAUUGGAAACUGGAGAACUUGAGUACAGAAGAGGAAAGCGGAAUUCCACGUGUAGCGGUGAAAUGCGUAGAGAUGUGGAGGAACACCAGUGGCGAAGGCGGCUUUCUGGUCUGUAACUGACGCUGAGGCGCGAAAGCGUGGGGGGAGCAAACAGGAUUAGAUACCCUGGUAGUCCACGCCGUAAACGAUGAGUGCUAAGUGUUAGGGGGUUUCCGCCCCCCCCUUAGUGCUGCAGCUAACGCAUUAAGCACUCCGCCCUGGGGAGUACGGCCGCAAGGCUG